UAGUGUCUAUAUACCCUGUAUGUGUGC
Molecule: non-coding RNA, 27 nt
Filed under: Bombyx mori (domestic silkworm)
Lineage: Eukaryota; Metazoa; Arthropoda; Insecta; Lepidoptera; Bombycidae
Source: RNAcentral